AUACGAAGGGGGCUAGCGUUGUUCGGAAUUACUGGGCGUAAAGCGCACGUAGGCGGAUCGUUAAGUCGGGGGUGAAAUCCCGGGGCUCAACCCCGGAACUGCCUUCGAUACUGGCGAUCUAGAGUCCGGAAGAGGUGAGUGGAAUUCCGAGUGUAGAGGUGAAAUUCGUAGAUAUUCGGAGGAACACCAGUGGCGAAGGCGGCUCACUGGUCCGGUACUGACGCUGAGGUGCGAAAGCGUGGGGAGC
Molecule: ribosomal RNA, 247 nt
Filed under: uncultured bacterium
Lineage: Bacteria
Description: partial 16S ribosomal RNA
Rfam family: Bacterial small subunit ribosomal RNA
Source: RNAcentral